This 1004-nucleotide ribosomal RNA is filed under the name human gut metagenome. Its description in RNAcentral is "bacterial LSU rRNA". It matches the Rfam family "Bacterial large subunit ribosomal RNA", at positions 1926 to 2925 of the family's 2925-position model. The record is from RNAcentral.
AACGGCGGCCGUAACUAUAACGGUCCUAAGGUAGCGAAAUUCCUUGUCAGGUAAGUUCUGACCCGCAUGAAAGGCGUAAUGAUUUGGGCACUGUCUCAACAGCCCGCCCGGCGAAAUUGUAGUACCGGUGAAGAUGCCGGUUACCCGCGACAAGACGGAAAGACCCCAUGGAGCUUUACUGUAGCCUAAUAUUGGGUUUCGAUGUUGCAUGCACAGGAUAGAUGGGACACAGGGAAACAAUCGCUUUGGCGGUUGCGGAGUGGCCGUUGGGAUACCAUCCUUGCGAUAUUGGAAUUCUAACCUGCGGCUCUGAAUCGAGUCGGGGGACAUUGUUAGGUGGGCAGUUUGACUGGGGCGGUCGCCUCCUAAAAAGUAACGGAGGCGUUCAAAGGUUCGCUCAGCUUGAACGGAAAUCAAGCAAAAGAGUGCAAACGCAGAAGCGAGCCUAACUGCGAGACUGACGGGUCGAGCAGUAACGAAAGUUGGAGUUAGUGAUCCGGUGGUAUGUGAGUGGAAAUGCCAUCGCUCAACGGAUAAAAGUUACCCUGGGGAUAACAGGCUGAUCUCCCCCAAGAGUCCACAUCGACGGGGAGGUUUGGCACCUCGAUGUCGGCUCAUCGCAUCCUGGGGCUGUAUUCGGUCCCAAGGGUUUGGCUGUUCGCCAAUUAAAGCGGUACGCGAGCUGGGUUCAGAACGUCGUGAGACAGUUCGGUCCCUAUCUGUCGUGGGCGCAGGAUAUUUGAUGGGAGCUGUCCCUAGUACGAGAGGACCGGGACGGACGUACCUCUGGCGCACCAGUUGUUCCGCCAGGAGCAUAGCUGGGCAACUACGUACGGAUCGGAUAAACGCUGAAAGCAUCUAAGCGUGAAGCCGACCCAAAGAUAAGAUAUCCCACUGAUUUGAUCAGGUAAGACCCCUUGAAGACUACAAGGUCGAUAGGCACGAUGUGUAAGUGGAGCGAUCCAUUCAGCAAGCGUGUACUAAUAGGUCGAGGGCUUGACCAC